GGGGUUAUAGCUCAGCUGGGAGAGCGCUUGAAUGGCAUUCAAGAGGUCAUCGGUUCGAUCCCGAUUAGCUCCAC
This 74-nucleotide transfer RNA is filed under the name Corallococcus macrosporus DSM 14697. RNAcentral describes it as "Myxococcus macrosporus DSM 14697 tRNA-Ala". It matches the Rfam family "tRNA". Rfam says of the family: Transfer RNA (tRNA) molecules are approximately 80 nucleotides in length. The record is from RNAcentral. Lineage: Bacteria; Pseudomonadati; Myxococcota; Myxococcia; Myxococcales; Myxococcaceae.